CCACCUUUGCAUGUCUUGCAUGGGAACUAAAUUCAACAAAAAAACACUAGGUAAGUUGAUGAGUUGAAGAGCCUAUAUAUAUAUAUCCAAAAGUUGGCUCAAUUAGUAUUAUUAAAUAGCAAGACCUGAAAUCACUUAAAAUAAGACCAUGAAUCUACAAAUAAAUUUAUUUAUGUCCUUUUAGGAGUGAAGCGAAAGGACUUCAACGCUCUCUCUUCUCUUCCUCUUUCUCGUACGCAUAUUCUUAUCCUGGAUGCUUUUACAUUCAAUCUUCAAC
Molecule: long non-coding RNA, 277 nt
Filed under: Gossypium barbadense (sea-island cotton)
Lineage: Eukaryota; Viridiplantae; Streptophyta; Magnoliopsida; Malvales; Malvaceae
Description: long non-coding RNA (GBAR_LNC011290)
Source: RNAcentral